RNAcentral lists this long non-coding RNA (983 nucleotides) under Olea europaea (common olive). RNAcentral's name for it is "long non-coding RNA (OEUR_LNC012950)". Lineage: Eukaryota; Viridiplantae; Streptophyta; Magnoliopsida; Lamiales; Oleaceae. The record is from RNAcentral.
UUAUCAUUUAGAUUUCGGAAUUGUCAUAGAAUUCUUUGUGCCAUGAAGUCCAAAUUUUUUUACCUUGUGGAUUGUGGACAUUGAUAUAUGGUCAUCAGGUUAGUAGUCGAAUCGAUGAUAUUCCGGUUCGACUGGUCAUCUCUAUGCUCGGUAAGAUAGUUUUCAUCACCAUAAAAAGAAACUUGACGAAAAAUUCUUUAAUUGAGACUGAUUCAUAAUCAUGUAUAUGUAUACAUAAUCAAAUUAGUCAUUGCAUCGCUCGGAUGAUAUAAUAUUACAAUCACAUUUGAUAUGGUAGAUUGGAUACCAUAUUAAAGUAUAUCAGAGCCUCAGCAAGUUUACCAGCUGCAGUUGGUGUUGUCCUAUGGAAAAGUUCUAAUUAGGCUAAUGUCGAACCCAACAGUGAAUCGACAGCUUCCUCUUCUUCUGAUUUAUCGUCCUUUGGAAAAUUGAGACAAUCAAUCUCUCCAUCGGAAUCAGUAGUCGGAUCAUCCUUCAUCAGGGAAAUCUUACAUACCACCAGAUUUGAUAUCUACUGAGGAGAUUUUGCUUGCAUAAAACACAAAUGAAGGGGGGCGGUACCAACAUAUGGAUUCUCAAUACUCAUACUUACAAGAAGCAGGUGUAGGGCAAAAUUAUUGCUUUGGAAUACAUUUCACUUAGCUUAGACCGACAUGAGCUUAUAACUACCUAGGAUCUUCUCCUUAUAAAUCAGUUUUAAGUGCGAAUUCUACCCAACUUUAUUAACAAUUGGCAUCAAGGCAUCUCGAAAUGGCCAUUGAUGCUAACAGAUAGAUGUGAAGGGGUUCGCGAAGUUACCUGGAUGGAGGUAUACGGUCUGCCAUGGAAAUUGAUUCUACACAAAGGAAUGAAAUGCCUAAUUGUGGGCUUACAACCAUUUAAGACACCUUCCACUUGCACUCCCAUUUCAAGAGUUAAGUUAUACUCAAUAUGCCAAGCCUUAGCUUAGUGAUGUGGGAUAC